CUGGAUUCUUCACUCCUCUCCUCGUCAGGCGGUCACGAAAUUCGCAGCAAGCAGGAUUAUACGAUAUGUGAGAUUCUUGCUGGUGCAGAUGGACAGCUUUGUAAUAGAGAAGUUGAAGGAAAGGCAGCUUGAUACCCUGGUUAAAACCUUUGAAGAUUUCACAAGACUUCAGGAAGCUACAUCUAGAGGCAGACUUUCUGUAGACUGGGCUACAUUUGCAAGAUGGAAAGGUGCAUUAAGAGCUGGGUGACAUGACUUCAG
Molecule: long non-coding RNA, 261 nt
Organism: Labeo rohita (rohu)
Lineage: Eukaryota; Metazoa; Chordata; Actinopteri; Cypriniformes; Cyprinidae
Exons: 3
Source: RefSeq, a predicted model, not a curated record